UACGGAGAGUGCAAACGUUGUUCGGAUUCACUGGGCGUAAAGGGCACGUAGGCGGCUCGGCAAAUCGGUCGUGGAAUCCCGACGCUUACCGUCGGAACGGCGGCCGAAAAUACCGGGCUCGAGGGCGUGAGGGGUCACUGGAACUCCUGGUGAAGCGGUGAAAUGCGUAGAUAUCGUAAGGAAGACCAGUGGCGAAGGCGGGUCUCUGGACAGUUCCUGACGCUGAGGCACGAAGGCCAGGGGAGCAAACGGG
Molecule: ribosomal RNA, 253 nt
Filed under: uncultured bacterium
Lineage: Bacteria
Description: partial 16S ribosomal RNA
Rfam family: Bacterial small subunit ribosomal RNA
Source: RNAcentral